Molecule: ribosomal RNA, 253 nt
Filed under: uncultured bacterium
Lineage: Bacteria
Description: partial 16S ribosomal RNA
Rfam family: Bacterial small subunit ribosomal RNA
Source: RNAcentral
UACGGAGGGUGCAGGCGUUAUCCGGAUUCACUGGGUUUAAAGGGUGCGUAGGUGGGCAGGUAAGUCAGUGGUGAAAUCUCCGGGCUUGACCCGGAAACUGCCAUUGAUACUAUCUGUCUUGAAUACCGUGGAGGUGAGCGGAAUAUGUCAUGUAGCGGUGAAAUGCUUAGAUAUGACAUAGAACACCAAUUGCGAAGGCAGCUCACUACACGAAUAUUGACACUGAGGCACGAAAGCGUGGGGAUCAAACAGG